GGGGCUGAUUCUGGAUUCGACGGGAUUUGCGAAACCCAAGGUGCAUGCCGAGGGGCGGUUGGCCUCGUAAAAAGCCGCAAAAAAAUAGUCGCAAACGACGAAAACUACGCUUUAGCAGCUUAAUAACCUGCUUAGAGCCCUCUCUCCCUAGCCUCCGCUCUUAGGACGGGGAUCAAGAGAGGUCAAACCCAAAAGAGAUCGCGCGGAUGCCUUGCCUGGGGUUGAAGCGUUAAAACGAAUCAGGCUAGUCUGGUAGUGGCGUGUCCGUCCGCAGGUGCCAGGCGAAUGUAAAGACAGACUAAGCAUGUAGUACCGAGGAUGUAGGAAUUUCGGACGCGGGUUCAACUCCCGCCAGCUCCACCA
This 363-nucleotide transfer-messenger RNA is filed under the name Salmonella enterica. RNAcentral describes it as "Standard tmRNA". It matches the Rfam family "transfer-messenger RNA". From Rfam's summary of the family: Bacterial tmRNA, also known as 10Sa RNA or SsrA, is named for its dual tRNA and mRNA-like properties. Its role is to liberate the mRNA from a stalled ribosome. The record is from RNAcentral. RNAcentral also lists the same sequence under 14 other names. Lineage: Bacteria; Pseudomonadati; Pseudomonadota; Gammaproteobacteria; Enterobacterales; Enterobacteriaceae.